This 253-nucleotide ribosomal RNA is filed under the name uncultured bacterium. RNAcentral describes it as "partial 16S ribosomal RNA". It matches the Rfam family "Bacterial small subunit ribosomal RNA", at positions 524 to 776 of the family's 1533-position model. The record is from RNAcentral.
UACAGAGGGGGCGAGCGUUGUUCGGAAUUACUGGGCGUAAAGGGCGCGUAGGCGGCCUGCUAAGUCAUACGUGAAAUCCCUCGGCUCAACCGAGGAACUGCGUCUGAUACUGGUUGGCUUGAAUUCGGGAGAGGGAUGCGGAAUUCCAGGUGUAGCGGUGAAAUGCGUAGAUAUCUGGAGGAACACCGGUGGCGAAGGCGGCAUCCUGGACCAAUUCUGACGCUGAGGAGCGAAAGCCAGGGGAGCAAACGGG